Molecule: ribosomal RNA, 253 nt
Filed under: uncultured bacterium
Lineage: Bacteria
Description: partial 16S ribosomal RNA
Rfam family: Bacterial small subunit ribosomal RNA
Source: RNAcentral
UACAGAGGGUGCAAGCGUUAAUCGGAAUUACUGGGCGUAAAGCGCGCGUAGGCGGCUGCCUAAGUCGGGUGUGAAAGCCCCGGGCUCAACCUGGGAACUGCACUCGAUACUGGGCGGCUAGAGUAUGAGAGAGGGAGGUAGAAUUCCACGUGUAGCAGUGAAAUGCGUAGAGAUGUGGAGGAAUACCGAUGGCGAAGGCAGCCUCCUGGGCCAACACUGACGCUCAUGCACGAAAGCGUGGGGAGCAAACAGG